AGCUGUUCCUGGCUCAGGUCCUCGAGCGCAACCAAGAGCAGCUCGCGGGCGGCAGCAGCUAGGGGUUCCAUGCUGGGAACCGCGCACGAGGACCCCGAUCGGGGGCUUUGCUCCGCGGCGUUCCAAGGCUUUGGCGCUGGCUGCAUCGCGGUUUGGUGGUGAAGUGGGGCCACUCCCGGGCGGGCACUGGCCGCCGGUGACUUAAGCGCUAGGGGGCGCCAUCCUGCUCCGCACCUCCCUCCUCGUUCCAAGUCAAGCCUCCCAGGUCACAUUCUCUGAGAACCCGUGGGGUGUGGCACUGAAGCGUGGCCGUGAGCAGGUAACUUCAGAGCAAGGUCGACAGCAUGGAGGAGAUGGUGGUUCAGAACAAGACCUUAACCUUAACAAGUCCUCAAGAUAGG
This is a non-coding RNA of Sus scrofa (pig), 401 nucleotides long. The record is from RefSeq and is a predicted model, not a curated record. Lineage: Eukaryota; Metazoa; Chordata; Mammalia; Artiodactyla; Suidae.